Molecule: ribosomal RNA, 513 nt
Filed under: uncultured bacterium
Lineage: Bacteria
Description: partial 16S ribosomal RNA
Rfam family: Bacterial small subunit ribosomal RNA
Source: RNAcentral
GAUGAACGCUGGCGGCGUGCUUAAUACAUGCAAGUCGAGCGAACAGACGAGGAGCUUGCUCCUCUGACGUUAGCGGCGGACGGGUGAGUAACACGUGGAUAACCUACCUAUAAGACUGGGAUAACUUCGGGAAACCGGAGCUAAUACCGGAUAAUAUAUUGAACCGCAUGGUUCAAUAGUGAAAGACGGUUUUGCUGUCACUUAUAGAUGGAUCCGCGCCGCAUUAGCUAGUUGGUAAGGUAACGGCUUACCAAGGCAACGAUGCGUAGCCGACCUGAGAAGGUGAUCGGCCACACUGGAACUGAGACACGGUCCAGACUCCUACGGGAGGCAGCAGUAGGGAAUCUUCCGCGAUGGGCGAAAGCCUGACGGAGCAACGCCGCGUGAGUGAUGAAGGUCUUCGGAUCGUAAAACUCUGUUAUUAGGGAAGAACAAAUGUGUAAGUAACUAUGCACGUCUUGACGGUACCUAAUCAGAAAGCCACGGCUAACUACGUGCCAGCCGCCGCAGUAA